Molecule: ribosomal RNA, 393 nt
Filed under: uncultured bacterium
Lineage: Bacteria
Description: bacterial SSU rRNA
Rfam family: Bacterial small subunit ribosomal RNA
Source: RNAcentral
GACGAACGCUGGCGGCGUGCUUAACACAUGCAAGUCGAGCGGUAAGGCCCUUUCGGGGGUACGACGAGCGGCGAACGGGUGAGUGACACGUGGGUGACCUGCCCUCAGCUCUGGGAGUAAGCCUGGGAAACCGGGGUCUAAUACCGGAUAUGACUCCAUGACGCAUGUUGUGGGGUGGAAAGCCUUGUGCGGCUGAGGAUGGGCCCGCGGCCUAUCAGCUUGUUGGUGGGGUGAUGGCCUACCAAGGCGACGACGGGUAGCCGGCCUGAGAGGGCGACCGGCCACACUGGGACUGAGACACGGCCCAGACUCCUACGGGAGGGCAGCAGUGGGGAAGUCUUGCGCAAUGGGCGAAAGCCUGACGCAGCGACGCCGCGUGAGGGAUGACGGCCU